This 23-nucleotide non-coding RNA is filed under the name Arabidopsis thaliana (thale cress). The record is from RNAcentral. Lineage: Eukaryota; Viridiplantae; Streptophyta; Magnoliopsida; Brassicales; Brassicaceae.
GAUAACUCAGUGUCCAGACCACA